RNAcentral lists this ribosomal RNA (496 nucleotides) under uncultured Florenciella. Its description in RNAcentral is "partial Bacterial large subunit ribosomal RNA". It matches the Rfam family "Bacterial large subunit ribosomal RNA", at positions 24 to 520 of the family's 2925-position model. Lineage: Eukaryota; Dictyochophyceae; Florenciellales. The record is from RNAcentral.
GUGGAUGCCUUGGCGUCAUAUGGCGAUGAAGGACGCAGCAAGCUGCGAUAAGCCUCGGGGAGCGGCAAACACGCUUUGAUCCGGGGAUUUCCGAAUGGGGAAACCCAAUGCCGGUAAUGCGGCAUUACUCCCAGCUGAAUAUAUAGGCUGGGUAGAGCAACACGCGGUGAAGUGAAACAUCUCAGUAACCGCAGGAAAAGAAAGAGAAUCGAUUCCGUAAGUAGCGGCGAGCGAAAGCGGAACAGCCCAAACCAGAAUGAUUUAUCGUUUUGGGGUUGUAGGACUAUAAUGUGAGGAGCAACGGAUAGAAGAACACUCUGGAAAGAGUGACCAUAGAGGGUGACAGUCCCGUAGUUGAAAUCCCGCGCCGAUCUAAUAGUAUCCUGAGUAGCACCGGACACGUGAAACCCGGUGUGAAUCUGCGCCGACCACGGCGUAAGGCUAAAUACAAGAUGACGACCGACAGUGAACUAGUACCGCGAGGGAAAGGUGAAAA